RNAcentral lists this ribosomal RNA (771 nucleotides) under Trichouropoda moseri. RNAcentral describes it as "eukaryotic LSU rRNA". It matches the Rfam family "Eukaryotic large subunit ribosomal RNA", at positions 403 to 954 of the family's 3401-position model. Lineage: Eukaryota; Metazoa; Arthropoda; Arachnida; Mesostigmata; Trematuridae. The record is from RNAcentral.
AACCGCWUWGAGCAAAACGAAUGGGCCUUCGAAUUCCGAUGACGAAGCAAUUCAGUCUCGAUAGCGUACGUGCCUGUUGGGUAUGUGUUUGCGCAAGCUUCACUGCCUAGCAUGGUUGCAAGCGUUGUUGAGGCGCAUUUUGUUUUGUCGGUAGGGCGUCGUAACCAGUAGAGUUAAUAAGAAAGCGUUUUGAGGGCUAGAUUGUUGGUAGCUUUUGCUUCUUCGGGAGUGAAUGUAAUUAGCGUUUAGUCUGAAUGAAUCGCUACUCUACUGUGGAAAAGUCUUGUACUUUUGCGCAAGAAAACCGGAAGGCUUGAAUGCUGUGUUGUUGAUCCACUUAAUGUGGGCUGCGAUGCAUGCGUUUGGCUGGUAGCUGGAUUUCUAUUGCUUUUGUACGGGACGGUUUACGGCGAGUAGGUCGGUAACCCAUUCGACCCGUCUUGAAACACGGACCAAGGAGUCUAACAUGUACGCGAGUCAUUGAGAUCCUGUACCUCAAAGGCGAAAUGAAAUGUGAAGGUCAAUUUUAUUGGCUGAGACGUGAUCUGAAACUCUAUGUAGUUUCGGCGCAGCGUCCACCCGUUCAACGUGGACUUGUCCUCAGAGCGGAGUGAGAGCGUACAUGUUAGGACCCGAAAGAUGGUGACCUAUGCCUGGGCAAGAUGAAGCCAGAGGAAACUCUGGUGGAGGUCUGAAGCGAUUCUGACGUGCAAAUCGAUCGUCUGACCUGGGUAUAGGGGCGAAAGACUCAUCGAACCAUCUAGUAGCUGG